RNAcentral lists this ribosomal RNA (380 nucleotides) under uncultured bacterium. RNAcentral's name for it is "bacterial SSU rRNA". It matches the Rfam family "Bacterial small subunit ribosomal RNA", at positions 29 to 433 of the family's 1533-position model. The record is from RNAcentral.
AGCGAACGCUGGCGGCAGGCUUAACACAUGCAAGUCGAGCGGGCGUAGCAAUACGUCAGCGGCAGACGGGUGAGUAACGCGUGGGAACAUACCUUUUGGUUCGGAACAACACAGGGAAACUUGUGCUAAUACCGGAUAAGCCCUUACGGGGAAAGGAUUUAUCGCCGAAAGAUUGGCCCGCGUCUGAUUAGCUAGUUGGUGAGGUAACGGCUCACCAAGGCGACGAUCAGUAGCNGGUCUGAGAGGAUGAUCAGCCACAUUGGGACUGAGACACGGCCCAAACUCCUACGGGAGGCAGCAGUGGGGAAUAUUGGACAAUGGGCGAAAGCCUGAUCCAGCCAUGCCGCGUGAGUGAUGAAGGCCCUAGGGUUGUAAAGCUC